GAUGAACGCUGGCGGCGUGCCUAAUACAUGCAAGUCGAGCGAACGGACGAGAAGCUUGCUUCUCUGAUGUUAGCGGCGGACGGGUGAGUAACACGUGGAUAACCUACCUAUAAGACUGGGAUAACUUCGGGAAACCGGAGCUAAUACCGGAUAAUAUUUUGAACCGCAUGGUUCAAAAGUGAAAGACGGUCUUUCUGUCACUUAUAGAUGGAUCCGCGCUGCAUUAGCUAGUUGGUAAGGUAACGGCUUACCAAGGCAACGAUGCAUAGCCGACCUGAGAGGGUGAUCGGCCACACUGGAACUGAGACACGGUCCAGACUCCUACGGGAGGCAGCAGUAGGGAAUCUUCCGCAAUGGGCGAAAGCCUGACGGAGCAACGCCGCGUGAGUGAUGAAGGUCUUCGGAUCGUAAAACUCUGUUAUUAGGGAAGAACAUAUGUGUAAGUAACUGUGCACAUCUUGACGGUACCUAAUCAGAAAGCCACGGCUAACUACGCG
This 497-nucleotide ribosomal RNA is filed under the name uncultured bacterium. RNAcentral describes it as "partial 16S ribosomal RNA". It matches the Rfam family "Bacterial small subunit ribosomal RNA", at positions 28 to 507 of the family's 1533-position model. The record is from RNAcentral.